GUCCCGGUAGCUCAGCAGGAUAGAGCGGCGGUUUCCUAAACCGUAGGUCGGGGGUUCGAGUCCCUUCCGGGACGCCA
Molecule: transfer RNA, 77 nt
Filed under: Hyphomicrobiales bacterium
Lineage: Bacteria; Pseudomonadati; Pseudomonadota; Alphaproteobacteria; Hyphomicrobiales
Also listed under: 3 other names
Description: Rhizobiales bacterium tRNA-Arg
Rfam family: tRNA
About the family: Transfer RNA (tRNA) molecules are approximately 80 nucleotides in length. Their secondary structure includes four short double-helical elements and three loops (D, anti-codon, and T loops).
Source: RNAcentral